This 402-nucleotide unclassified non-coding RNA is filed under the name uncultured fungus. RNAcentral describes it as "partial contains 5.8S ribosomal RNA and internal transcribed spacer 2". The stretch from base 1 to 133 matches the Rfam family "5.8S ribosomal RNA", at positions 22 to 154 of the family's 154-position model. Lineage: Eukaryota; Fungi. The record is from RNAcentral.
UGGCUCUCGCAUCGAUGAAGAACGCAGCGAAAUGCGAUAAGUAAUGUGAAUUGCAGAAUUCAGUGAAUCAUCGAAUCUUUGAACGCACCUUGCGCUCCUUGGUAUUCCGAGGAGCAUGCCUGUUUGAGUGUCUUGAAGUCAUCAACCCCUCCGGUUUCUUCUUGGGACCGAGAGAAGGUUGGAUCCUGGGGGCUUUGCUGCCGCGAGGCUGCUCCCCUCAAAUGCGUCGGUCGGACCUUGCGUGGUCGGACCCGAUCGGGCGUUGUAACCAUCCUCGCUCUUGGUCGGGACGUCUCCAUCCCGCAAUCCUGCGUCCUUCCACGGCUUGCCUUCAGAGUGGCGGCCAUCGUAAUUCAUUACACUUUGAAAUCUGACCUCAAAUCAGGCAGGACUACCCGCUGA